Transfer RNA from Camelus ferus (Wild Bactrian camel), 73 nucleotides. It matches the Rfam family "tRNA". Rfam says of the family: Transfer RNA (tRNA) molecules are approximately 80 nucleotides in length. Their secondary structure includes four short double-helical elements and three loops (D, anti-codon, and T loops). Further hydrogen bonds mediate the characteristic L-shaped molecular structure. tRNAs have two regions of fundamental functional importance: the anti-codon, which is responsible for specific mRNA codon recognition, and the 3' end, to which the tRNAs corresponding amino acid is attached (by aminoacyl-tRNA synthetases). tRNAs cope with the degeneracy of the genetic code in two manners: having more than one tRNA (with a specific anti-codon) for a particular amino acid; and 'wobble' base-pairing, i.e. permitting non-standard base-pairing at the 3rd anti-codon position. Lineage: Eukaryota; Metazoa; Chordata; Mammalia; Artiodactyla; Camelidae. The record is from Rfam.
GAGGGUAUAGCUCAAUUGGUAGAGUACUGGCUUAGCAUGCAUGAGGUCCUGGGUUCAAUCCCAAGUACCUCCA